Long non-coding RNA from Salvelinus sp. IW2-2015, 2583 nucleotides. RefSeq lists it as uncharacterized. The record is from RefSeq and is a predicted model, not a curated record. NCBI's taxonomy places the organism in Eukaryota, Metazoa, Chordata, Actinopteri, Salmoniformes, Salmonidae.
ACAGGAAACUGUGGUCCGACUGAAAAAACAGUUCCCCUUGGAAACAACUUUGUUGAAACGUUGACUCACUUGUGCAUCAUUUCCAUAUAMAGUUAGUUAGCGUUAAAUUAAUCAGGAAUUUUGUGUAAAUCUGACUUGCCUUUCUCGUCUCGCUCGGAUAACUUUAGUCAACGUUUGGUAUGGGUGUAAUUUGGACAAAUUCAGAUAGAUCCUUCUCGACUUUGUUCCGUUUGUGUUUUGCAACAUAAUUGGCGUAAUCUGUUGCAAUUUCUGAUCUCAGGCUAACAUCCUGCUGUCCUCGGCUGGAUUUCCCAAAAGCAUCAUAGUACUAAAAUAAUCUUAAUUCCAUUGAAAUUAAAUGAACGAAAGAUGAUUGCAGUGCUACGAUGCUUUUGGGAUAACAAGCUCUGGUCUGGGCAUCAUUUCUGCCACCUGCAGGAGGAGGUUGAAGCUGCACGAUCAAGUUAAACUGAAAUUCUUUCUCACUGUCACCCAUGCAGUGCUCUUCUCCUCACCUGCCCCCAACAACUGUACCAACAGCCAACAUGCCCCGUUUCCUACUGUCGAAGCCAAGAGAAGACCAUCAUGACGACAGAAGAGGUUCACCUACAGGUACUGCUGUCUGCCUUGGCCUCCCAGGUGUCCCAUCCAGAGAACAUGGAAGAUUAUUUAUUUAUUUAACGAAAGGACGUACUCCGCUCUGCCACCAAGGCAUUCAGCUGGAAACGAUUCAACCUCAGAGGUUCAACGUGAGGGGUCAGUCGACCAACAUGGUCAAACACAGGAGUUCCUUCAGCUGUUGAUGGCAGCCAUCCGAGACUGUUGUUUGUUCCAGGGGCCAGACCACUGCAAAAGCCUAAUAUUGGACUAGUAUUGCUGCUAGUGAGGUCAUGGAGGAAGAGUCUUCAAUCCUGCGUCCGCUGGGGGUCCUCAGCCCUGUCCAGACAUGGGAGGAAAGGGAAGACAUUGUGCGGUUUGCUGCGAGGGGCUAUUUGGAUGUUUGGUUGUCAUGUGGACCAGUAAGUAUGUUUUGUACAAUAACUGCUGAGUUGGGCCUAGUCACUUUUGGCACAGCAGUGAGAUAAAACCAGUUACAGUAAUUACUUUUAUGAGCUCAGUCUCUUGUGCACGUCCCUCACUCUGUGUUGCGUGUUGUCCUUUUUGUUGUGUUUAAACCAAAUGAAAGGAGGACUGGCUACUCUGGGCUUGCUAGAGGCAUCCUGCUGUAUUCAAGCAGAUGUUACUAGCCAGACCUCUCUCUGCAGUAGACCUCACGCUCUUCCACGUGAACUUCUCAGCCCCCGGUAGUGAUGAGAGAAUAGCUGAGGACAUAACGUAUGGCUACUGGAGGGACUGGCUUAUUGGGGUGGAGUGGAUGUGAGUCUCUGACCGUCAAGAAGCUUCUGGUCUUCGUGUCUGGCCGGGGGGGGGGGCACACUGGGCUUCCCCACACAGCCCACCAUGGAGUUCCUGCACACUCGGGGGGGGGAGAGACAGGUGUUCUCCACGCUGUACCUUGCACUCUCGUCCUCCGUCUCCCAGUCCACUCCUCAUAUCAGCAGUUCAAGGAGUCCAUGACCUCAGACAUACUCCAGACAUAGGAGUCCAUGACCUCAGGCAUAUUCCAGGAGAAGAGGAGUCCAUGACCUCAGAAAGUACUCCAGACAGAGGAGUCCAUGACCUCAGGUGUACUCCAGACACAGAGGAGUCCAUGACCUCAGGUGUACUCCAGACACAGAGGAGUCCAUGACCUCAGAAAGUACUCCAGACGUAGAGGAGUCCAUGACCUCAGGUGUACUCCAGAGACAGAGGAGUCCAUGACCUCAGGUGUACUCCAGACACAGAGGAGUCCAUGACCUCAGAAAGUACUCCAGACGUAGAGGAGUCCAUGACCUCAGAAAGUACUCCAGACGUAGAGGAGUCCAUGACCUCAGGCGUACUCCCAGACACUCAUGUUGGCUUGAGAAGCCUCACUAGAGAAACCAGGUAGACUAAGACAGUGAGCAGGUCAAUGCCUCAGACGUCUAAGAACAAGACGGCUGUUUGGUCCUUGCAACAUGUGUCCCUCCAGUUAAAGAUCAGGUGUCAGUCUGACUGUUUCUUAAUUGUCUUCAUUAUCUCUGCAUUAUCUCUGGGCAGUUCCAGGUUCACUAUCUACAGUAUGUGAAGUUUAUCCAGGGUGGUCCUCCUGAGAAACAAACUACAGACACAAAACAAGAUGCUGUCACCUUCACCCUGACUCGGGGUUCCGUUCUGGAACACUUUGUUGUUGACACAUCUGACGUGCUAAAGUUCUGUAGAUAAUAGCCCCUGUGCCAGAGGGCCAAAGAGGGAUCCACAUGUUCCAGCUUAUUGAUUACUGCUUUGGUGACUAACUUUUAUUCAUGGCUGUGAUUAGUACAUUUGUUAUAGUGCCUGUCUUUUAUUCCUGGCUGUGUUUGUGUCGGUCAGAAGUACUCAGUGGCUUUUCCAUGUCACUUACGUAAUUCUGAUUAUGUAAAUAGUUAAGCAACCAUGUGAACAUCACCAUAUUACCCACAUUAAACCACAACACAGACCUCCAAAUAAAUGAACUUGAAGUCA